Molecule: long non-coding RNA, 6731 nt
Organism: Cavia porcellus (domestic guinea pig)
Lineage: Eukaryota; Metazoa; Chordata; Mammalia; Rodentia; Caviidae
Exons: 5
Source: RefSeq, a predicted model, not a curated record
UGAAAUGCCUUGGGCAAGAGAAUGCAACAAAAACAAGGUUAUGCUGGCUCCAGACUCCAAUGAAGGCCCUGCUUGCUUCUGCUUUUUCUCGUGGGAUCCUAUAGGGCCACGUGUGAACUACUCAGGCCCGUCUCCUGCAUUUGGACAUUCACAUGGCCCAGCUACCUCAGUUUCCCUGGCUGACUAGCUGGUUAGCUGAUUGCAAACCAGCCUCAGAAGAAGCUGUGGCUUGCUCUAGCACUGAUUCUCAGAGAUAUGGGACCCCACAACUUCCGGCUGGACCCUAAAAUUAAAAUAACCAGAAAAGAUAAAUAUUUAAAACUGAUUCAGGACAUGAAGGCCACAACGGGGCAACUAAAGACAUUCGUGGAGAAAGACUUUUGGGAUUCUUUCAGAAAGUGAGGGGAAGACGUGUGCCACUUGGUCUCCAGGAUGAACUCGUCACGCUGGCUUCCUGGCAGAAAUCCAGAUAACUGCAGAGAAUCAAAGUCUGUAAUAAAGAAGGGACGAUAUGGAGGGACAGGGGCCCUGGAUCAAUCAGCUUUUGCUAAAAUCUCUGCGUAUUGAAACAGCCUGCAUUGCAAAGGUUUCCUGUGUUAGCUGUUCCUCCCUUUACGUCUUGAAUGGAUACCUACCACCAUUUAUUUGCCCUCUGCCUUUCAAGGUGCAUGCUAUUUCCCAAGGGAAGUGAGAAAGCCCUGCCUUACUGUAGCAUCUUUUGUUCUCUUAAGAAGCAAGACAAAAAAAAAAAAAAAAAGAAGACAGCUACCUGAGAAUUUUCUCCUAAUCUGGGCGUGUUAAUUUCUAGAUCAAAGACACAACUCGUACACUGAAUGUCCUUUCAGUAAUAACCUCAGGAUAUCCUUCAUCAAGAUCCAAGGAUGGGUCACAUUUCUCUUAAAUUCUGUGCAUUUCUUGACUGAAUUUUCAUGUUUUAUUGUCCUUUCCAGCUAAUGUUAAAAGGUUCUCUGUCCUGAUUUCCUGAAGUUUUCUAAAACAUACUUGUAUUCUAUUUUCUUCAUAUUAAUAUCCUUAGAGUUAACAAAGCCCUGUGCAUAUGGAAUAAAUUUUUCCUAUCUAUUUGGGGAAGCACUAAAUCAUUAUCUCUUGAGUAACUAUAGAAUAACAAUCUGCCUCGUUCUUUUUUCCUUUCUUUGCCUAGAUUUGGAUUUAGGUAUCUGAGUUCCUUUUACCAUAUUCUACAUAACGUUUACAAUUUUGCCACAUUUUUUUACUUUUACACAUCUUUUACUUUUUCCUUGCAUCAAUCUACCUACUGUCUUUUAUACCCACGUAGAAAUUAAUUCUUUCUUUAAAAAUGUCUAUUCUGUUGUUUAAUCUGCCUUGUAUAUAUAAUUGUAUUUAUAUGCCAUUUCCAGAACUCAUAUUUUAUUACUAUAGUUUUAAGCUCUCUACUGAAAUUAAAAAUUUCUCUUUAGUUUCUUACCCAUAUUAAUCAGAGUUAUUGAAAUCUCUGUAUGAUACCAAUAUGUGAAUUUUCUGUGGAUUGCUUACUAUUUUCUGAACUUCUUUGUCUCUGCAUUUUUCAGCCAUUUCUCAUAUUUUAUAUGCCUACCAUUUUUGUUAUAGAACACAGCAUCUGCAUGAAAAAUUAAAAAGGGACUCUUAGAAUUUCUGAAUGAUACCACUUCCCUCCAGAAAGUAUUUAAUUAAUGGCAAACAAUUAGGAGAGGAACUGAUCAUCUUAAUGAGUUAACAUAGCAAUGUUGAACUGAUUCAGAUUCAAGUUUUAUUUAUUAUGCUAUCUGGUCUAUUUCUUAUUUACUUUCACUUCUAAGCAGUGGCCUUUUAGGUAUGUAAAGGGAAAACUUCACAAGUUCACUCUCACUCCAUGAUGGAAUUCAAAUCUGUUGUCUUUCUAGCUUCAUAUGAUUGCUUCUCAGCAUCUUCUCUUCCUUGUGGCAUUCCCCUUAUAUUUUCUCAGGGAACUGCUUUAGAAUUUUAAAGCAUAAAAAGGAUAAAACAGAGUCAAAUAUUUGGCAGUCCUCUGAACCUCCCUUUCCUCUAAAACUUGUUCCUUCAGGCCCCAACCGGUAGCUUUCCAAUGCCUUCAUACAGAGUUUUAAAAAGUUCGUUACCCAAUUCUUCUUCUGUUUCCCAGCAGAAAUAUUCGGCUAAUACAAACCACUCUUCCACAGGUGGAAGCAGAAAUUUUAUCUCAUAUUUUCAUUGGUUAUUUUUUAACCUGAUUUUCACAUUAGAACUAAUCUAUCAACAAAAUAUUGAAGACUUCUAUUGAGAAUUUAAAUUCAUUUCUGAUUUCUGUUUUUAACUUCUUGAUUUUUUACUGGUUUUUUUUUUUUAUCUAUGGAAGCUCCCUUUUUGUUUUUGUCAUAAAUUUUUUGAAAAUUCGAGAUUCUAUACUGUAGAGAGAAUUUUCUUUAUAUUUUGGUCAUACAAAACACUUUUUAAUCAGAAGAAUUAUAUUCUUCAGAUUAAAAUAUAAUUUUAAUUAUUUUUUGCCAUUCAUUUGAUGCAGUUUUUCCUGUUGUCUCUCUUUGAAGUUACAUUAUAUGGAUACAGGUUCAUUCAGGUUGAUUUUUUGCUUCCUACUUCCUUUUGUAUGCUAUUUGUCUAUUUUUAAAAUCUAAUUUUCUGGGAGAUUUUCUUAACUUUAUUUUGUAAGAUUUCCGUUGACCAUUCACUGCUGGUAGCAUAUUUUAUAUUUACAUAGACUCUUUCAGGUUCUCUGAUUUUCAGCAUGAAUGAAUUUUUGCACCAUGGAAGUAAAUAUUUUAUCUUUUUGAGGUUGUUGCUGGUUUUUCAAAAUCAAAUAUUUAUGUCUUAUGUCUUAUGUGACCGUUGAUGUCUCUAAAUGUACUGGCUGCUUUUUUACAUUAAGGACUCUCAUAAGGUAUCACACGAUAUGAUCUUUGGCUGCCUGAUCACACUGAAUGAUCUGACAAUACAAAGAUCUUUGGAAGUUCCCUGAGUAAGACUAGGAAUUUCUGCCUGAAAGUUUCCCUGGAGAGUGAUCUUUAAAUGCUUUUCUCUGCUUGGAAAUCCUUAGGGAAGAUCAGUUCCCUUCCUGCAGAAGUAAUUUUGGUUGAUAUUGUUCUGAGGAUCCCCUGCACUAUAUUUAGUACAUUAUUCUUGUCCUUGGUUGUACUCAGAUUCCCGUUAUGAAGAGAUUCUCUGAUACUUUCCAGAGAUUAAGUCCUCAAUUUUCUGCUAACAAAAUAAUGAGGGAAUCUGGCCAUUAACUAUUUCAAGAGUGUUUCAUGUAAAAUGCUGGUAAACUCAUCUUUACCACCAUUUUUGGAGGUGCUCAAUAGUUUUGAUUUCUGUUGUGAAGAUUUCUUUGUUAUUUUGGUUUUCAUUGUUUUAUUGUCUAUUUUAUUUUAAAAGACAUAUUUCUUCAGCCUCAUGACCAGACUACACAUUUAACAAACAAUAGCAUGAGUACAAAAAGAAAAAGAAAAAGAAAGAAAAAUUUUUUCAAAGUUUCCACAGGAGGAAAACUAAACCUAUCAUAAAAUCAGUCACAAACAUAGGACUUUCCUGACCACACAUGUAAAUAUUGUCUAAACAUGUCUUCAUUGUAACCAUGAGGACCUGUCACCAAAGUGCUUGCCUGAGUUCAUGAAUCAGCUACAGCCUGUAUCUUCCUCUGCUACUUCUCUGGCUCUACUCUCCUAUUAAGCUUUGUUUCUUGGCAAGAAUUAAAACCUUCUUCUCCUGUCUUAACUACUGAUGCUCCUGGAACUGCCUUAGCAACAACAACCAUAGGAACCAGGGCUUCUGUCUUCAAAGUUUCCUCCCUUCUGGGUCUAGAAUUUGAAUACUGAUGAUUGGAACUGCCAAAAUCCUUGUUGCUUCUACCACCAACAAAAUUGCUUACAUCAUUUCCAAUCCAUUGUAGCCAUCUCCACUGCUACCAUGUCUAGCACCACCAUGACUGCCAUUAAAACAACGAUGACCACUGUAGAUUCUGCUAUGACCAAAAUUGUCAUUGCCACCAAAACCACUUCCAUUACCACUAUUAAAGUUUCCAGAACCAUUUUGCUCUCCUUGGCUAUAGAGAAGCACUAGGCAUCUUGUGUUUUCUUAGGGCUUUUCCCACUUCAUGAUGGUGACCAUCCAUACUGUAGUAUUUCUGAAUGACAAUCUUAUCAGUGGAGUCGUUGUCAUCUAAGGUCACAAAAAGAAUCCUUUCUUCUUUCUGCUAGGUCAAUCUUGAUUUUAAUUUUCUCAUCCUGUACUAAAUAAUCUCACAGAUGGUGGUCUUCUGUGUUUUCUUCAGUGAUAUCCACAAAGAUCUAUUUCAUACUUAAAUGGGUACACAAUCUUCGAGAAUUUUCUUUUGAGAUGUUUCUCUUUGGUGCCAUGCCUCUUGCAUUCACCUCAUGUGGUGUGUGCUCAUGACCGCAUCCACUUCCUCCAAAGUGACAAAGUGACAAGCUGAAUGCCCCUGGAGUGCUUAGUAUUCAGAUCUCUCAUCACAAAGCAGUGUUUAUAUGUGUGCGUUGCCCAGAAUGGCUCUUCAAGUUCUCACCACUUUUUCAAGUUCAUCCCUCUGACAAAGCUCUUCCAUAGCUGUGUGAACCCUUUAGAAGACUCUGACUUAGACAUGACAGCAAUGGGAAGAGAGACCAGUGCUGUUUCUCAGUGUGUCCUUAGUGCAUCGCCAAGCAAAAAUGUGAGGUUUUGAAAUAUAAAUUAGCUUGCUGGUGAGAUACUGAAAGCUCUCCCACAGAGUUCAGUUGUUCUUCAUUUGGUUCAUUUCGCCACCACGUGUUCAUCUAACUUCCAACUUCCAGAAUGCACCGCUGUUGUUUCCUGUCUUGUUUUUUGGGUUUGUGCAAAGCUUUCUCCAACCUGUCAUUGUGAUGGAAUUUCAGGAGACUGAAGAUAAAGGCAGGCAUGUUAUAAUUGCGAGCCAUUGUUUACUUUUAAUUGCAAACCAUCUUGUACUGCUUUAUAAUUGCACAUAUUAUUUUUAAUAGCAAAUAUAUUAGAAAGAAAAUAUUUUAAGUGCAAAUGACAAAGUAUGACUAUAAAUUGACUGGCCCAGCGAAUUUGACAGUGAGAGUCAGGGCUUACGUUGGAGUACGUAACUGGCAGUAUAAAACCUGGAAAACUUUCAUGUUGUUUGAUUUCUUUAACUACAAGUAGGUAUUCAUGAUGUAAUUCAAUUAAAAAUAAUAGCAAAAGAAAAAUGCAUACAAGUUUAACAGGUAUAUAUAAAUGUGUACAUUUUGGCAUUAAUAAGGCUAGACUUUCGGUGGAAAUAGAUUAGUAUUACUGAUAAAACAUAUACUUUGAAGUAGAGAAAAAUACACUGAUAUCUGAAGCUCUGAAAUGUGUGCAUACAUUUUGCUAGAGCUAAUAAUCCCCACAGGAAAACCUGUAUGUAUGUAUGAAAUGCCUUUGCGUGAUCCACAUCAAAACACUUUCAACUCAAACAAAAAUCAAGGGGAGUAAAAUUCACCCAGGAUCCAAGCAACGUAAUAUGUGGAUGACUUGAAGACAUUCUAAUAAAUACAAGAAGUUUACACUAUAAAUAUAGUGUCAAUCAAGUAUUAAUUGCAAGACCUCAAAGCUUAUAUAUUAAUAAAGUCCCAGUUAAGAAUGAUUAGGCAGCAUAAUUGUAUUGGCCAUUUUCUUUCUCCUUUUCCAUUUACAGCACUUACUGUGUAUCAACAUAUACCAAAGUGUGGUGGUGCUAAGGUGCUGAGUAGUCAAUGUCUAAUAUAUUGGAUUUCUGCUCUGGAAUUGUUUGUAUUGCUUUGAAUGAACCAGCAGCAUCCCGAAACCCCUAUCCAGUGACAGGAAAUCUUCUGUUAGCCUCUCUGCCUACUAUUUAACUUUUCAUAGAAGACAGUCAAAGGCUGUUUGCAGUUUCGCCAGGUAUAAUCCUUUCUGCCUUAGCUCCACAGCAGUUUACAAGAGAUUGUCAUUUUCCUUACUAUUGUUUUCUUCUUCCCGCGUGUCAAUGAUUUCUGUUCCUGGCUUCUAUUCUUCAAAAGUUCUACCACAUGAGACCUGUAAGACAACACCAAAUCAGUCUAGCAGUGCUGUGCAGGAGGUAUUUAUGCAUCUGAGUGCUACAGUUCCUACAGAGGCUUUCCAAUGUACUCAAGCCCUCUUUGCAAUUGGGCUGCCUCUGAUCUCUCUUUAGGCCUGAUCAAGAUUUAGCUAGUUCACAGUGACUUUACUUUCUAAGGAAAAAGUGUUUUUGAGCAUUCACCAAAUUUUGACACUCUGAAUACAUAUCUUACUUCCUCCUUUCCGUCCUGGGUGGUCAAAAUGGAAAGUGAUGUGGCGCAUAGAGGAAGUAGAGUUGGAUGGUCUGGGAAGGUAGCCCAGCUAUGCUGCUUCCUGGCUGCAUUAUGUUAAGCAAGUCAUUCAGACUCUAGGAGCUUCACAUAUUACAUUCUCCAUUCGUAACCUUUCUUUUUAAAGAGAUGAGUUAAUACAUAAAAAAUGCAACAGUGCUCGCACACAAGCAGCACUAUGUAAAUAUUAACUAGGAUUUAUUCACUCUACAAAGGAGAGAGAAUCAGAGGGAUUUAAGUUGUUCAUGUUUGAAAAGCUAGUAAGCAGCAUAACACCAAUGAAUAGCUUUAUCUUUUUUUUAAGGGUUAUCUAAUUUGGGGGGCUAUCUACAUUAUUACAAACUUUGAUGUUUUAAGCUGGUCUGAUCAAUAGUUCUAAGUCUAAAUCUUCAUGUAUACAAAAUUACUUGACUUCUCACAUAGAAUAAAAGC